Molecule: long non-coding RNA, 1150 nt
Filed under: Sus scrofa (pig)
Lineage: Eukaryota; Metazoa; Chordata; Mammalia; Artiodactyla; Suidae
Description: lncRNA (ENSSSCG00005002247.1)
Source: RNAcentral
UUCUGCGACGAGCCCGCCUGAGCCCGGCCCUUCGGCCUGUCCCGGAGGGCCGGGGCGGGGGGCGUCCGAAGGUCGGGGGCCUCUUUUUGUCCCCCUGGGCUUCUGCCACCGGGCCAGGGACUGAGGGGACGGGGCGCGGGGAGCGCUGUGUCCCGGCGGGGCUGGCCUCCGCCCCAACCCCGGAUCUGCAGGCGAGAGGGGAGAGCUUCGGCUCGGUAGAUUGGGAGCACGUCAGAAGCGCCGCGACCACCCUUUUUUUUUCCCCCCCGCUGGCUGCGGAGUUCCCUCGUCAGCACGCGCCCUAUAAGGCCGGGGAAGCAGCUUCAGGGGGUCCUGAUUCUUUGAAGAUGAUGAGUCACAGGUUGGCUUGAAGCCACAGGACUUAAGUAUCACAAUCUGAUGAAGUUAAAGUAGAGAAAUAUCUGAACUUUUAAGAUUCCUGUUAUAUCCAGGAAUAUUUGGGAAGAGUAACAGCUCGGAAGUGCUACCGCUGAGUCAUUAGAGAGCUUUUGAGUUGUGUUUGCAUAAAGAUGAGUAUUAUCACCCUUUUCAAGGGCACCCAAGCAGAACAAACACUACCAGGAAGCGAGGCCUGCAAUCCUUCACUUGUCAGGGUGGGAACUGAAAAAAACAUUGAACUACUGGUGGAGUUUUAUUCCAGCACCCCAACAAGAUACAGCAGGGAAGUGGAAAUUAAGAGACAAAAUUGUUCUUAUACCUUGGGAAAGGUGAGAACUGGAAAGAAGGAAGAAAGGAGCUGACUGAACUAAGCACAGCAUAGUAAUUAGCUCAAAGAAAGUAAGUCAUGAGAUGGGAUUCAGCCAGAAAAUUCAUAAGCAAAGCACGAUAUUAGGCCUCUAAAAAAUAUAUGGGUCCUUGACCUACCUCUUAGUUGUCAGUGACAUUUGUCAUAGCAAGUACAAUAUAUGUCAGAAUGUAAAAUCAUGUAUAUGCCAGUAACACUCUAUUAAAUAAAAUUUUGGGCCACCCCGUGGCAUAUGGAGCUCCCCAGCCAGGGAUCAGAUCAGAGCCACAGUCUCAACCUAAGCCACAGCUGCAGCAAUGCCGGAUCCCUAACCCACUGUGCUGGGCCAGGGAUUAAACCAAGACACUGCCAAUCCCAUUGUACCACAGCCGGAGCUCCUAAAUA